GGAAAGGGUGUGGCUCUGUGGAAGAGAACCUGCUUUGCAAGCAGAAGGUGCCAGGUUCAAUCCCUGGCAUCUCCA
Molecule: non-coding RNA, 75 nt
Organism: Podarcis lilfordi (Lilford's wall lizard)
Lineage: Eukaryota; Metazoa; Chordata; Lepidosauria; Squamata; Lacertidae
Source: the annotation of a GenBank genome assembly